AUACGGGGGGUGCAAGCGUUAUUCGGAUUUAUUGGGCGUAAAGGGCGCGUAGGCGGCUUGGUAAGUCAGAUGUGAAAGCCCGGGGCUCAACCCCGGAAGUGCAUUUGAAACUAUCAGGCUUGAGUAUGGGAGAGGGAAGUGGAAUUCCUGGUGUAGAGGUGAAAUUCGUAGAUAUCAGGAGGAACACCGGUGGCGAAGGCGACUUCCUGGACCAAUACUGACGCUGAGGCGCGAAGGCGUGGGGAGCAAACAGGAUUAGAUACCCGGGUAGUCC
This 274-nucleotide ribosomal RNA is filed under the name uncultured bacterium. RNAcentral's name for it is "partial 16S ribosomal RNA". It matches the Rfam family "Bacterial small subunit ribosomal RNA", at positions 523 to 796 of the family's 1533-position model. The record is from RNAcentral.